Molecule: ribosomal RNA, 292 nt
Filed under: uncultured bacterium
Lineage: Bacteria
Description: partial 16S ribosomal RNA
Rfam family: Bacterial small subunit ribosomal RNA
Source: RNAcentral
GUGCCAGCAGCCGCGGUAAUACAGAGGGUGCAAGCGUUAAUCGGAUUUACUGGGCGUAAAGGGCGCGUAGGCGGUUAUAUGAGUGUGAUGUGAAAGCCCUGGGCUUAACCUAGGAAGUGCAUCGCAAACGAUAUAACUGGAGUAUAUGAGAGGGUGGUGGAAUUUCCGGUGUAGCAGUGAAAUGCGUAGAUAUCGGAAGGAACAUCGAUGGCGAAGGCAGCCACCUGGCAUAAUACUGACGCUGAGGCGCGAAAGCGUGGGGAUCAAACAGGAUUAGAUACCCUCGUAGUCC